Molecule: small nuclear RNA, 139 nt
Organism: Callithrix jacchus (white-tufted-ear marmoset)
Lineage: Eukaryota; Metazoa; Chordata; Mammalia; Primates; Cebidae
Gene: U4
Rfam family: U4 spliceosomal RNA
About the family: U4 small nuclear RNA (U4 snRNA) is a component of the major U2-dependent spliceosome. The structure of U4 snRNA from yeast and human has been reported.
Source: Ensembl
AGCUUUACGCAGUGGCAGUAUUGUAGCCAAUGAGGUUUAUCUGAUAUGAUUAUUGCUUAUUAAGAACUUUUUUCAAUACCGCACCAUGAUGACCUGAAAUAUAGUCGGCGUUGGCCAUUUUUGGCAGUCUCUACAGGGA